RNAcentral lists this ribosomal RNA (1129 nucleotides) under Halomonas sp. HL90. RNAcentral describes it as "bacterial SSU rRNA". It matches the Rfam family "Bacterial small subunit ribosomal RNA", at positions 29 to 1145 of the family's 1533-position model. Lineage: Bacteria; Pseudomonadati; Pseudomonadota; Gammaproteobacteria; Oceanospirillales; Halomonadaceae. The record is from RNAcentral.
GUGGACGUGGGGGGCAGCCUACACAUGCAGUCGAGCGGUAACAAGAGUGCGCGUGCUUUGCUGGAUGCUGACGAGCGGCGGACGGGUGAGUAAUGCAUAGGAAUCUACCCGGUAGUGGGGGAUAACCUGGGGAAACCCAGGCUAAUACCGCAUACGUCCUACGGGAGAAAGGGGGCUUUGGCUCCCGCUAUCGGAUGAGCCUAUGCCGGAUUAGCUGGUUGGUGAGGUAACGGCUCACCAAGGCGACGAUCCGUAGCUGGUCUGAGAGGAUGAUCAGCCACAUCGGGACUGAGACACGGCCCGAACUCCUACGGGAGGCAGCAGUGGGGAAUAUUGGACAAUGGGGGCAACCCUGAUCCAGCCAUGCCGCGUGUGUGAAGAAGGCCCUCGGGUUGUAAAGCACUUUCAGCGAGGAAGAACGCCUGGUGGUUAAUACCCGCCAGGAAAGACAUCACUCGCAGAAGAAGCACCGGCUAACUCCGUGCCAGCAGCCGCGGUAAUACGGAGGGUGCAAGCGUUAAUCGGAAUUACUGGGCGUAAAGCGCGCGUAGGUGGCUUGAUAAGCCGGUUGUGAAAGCCCCGGGCUCAACCUGGGAACGGCAUCCGGAACUAUCAGGCUAGAGUGCAGGAGAGGAAGGUAGAAUUCCCGGUGUAGCGGUGAAAUGCGUAGAGAUCGGGAGGAAUACCAGUGGCGAAGGCGGCCUUCUGGACUGACACUGACACUGAGGUGCGAAAGCGUGGGUAGCAAACAGGAUUAGAUACCCUGGUAGUCCACGCCGUAAACGAUGUCGACCAGCCGUUGGGUGCCUAGCGCACUUUGUGGCGAAGUUAACGCGAUAAGUCGACCGCCCUGGGAGUACGGCCGCAAGGUUAAAAACUCAAAUGAAUUGACGGGGGGCCCGCACAGCGGUGGGAGCAUGUGGUUUAAUUCGAUGCACGCGAAGAACCCUUACCUACCCUUUGACAUCCUGCGAACUUGUGAGAGAUCCACUUGUGCCUUCGGGAGCGCAAAGACAAGUGCUGCAUGGCUGUCGUCAGCUUGUGUUGUGAAAUGUUGGGUUAAGUCCCGUAACGAGCCGCCACCCUUGGUCCUAUUUGCCAGCGAGGUAUUGUCCGGGAACUCCUAAAG